This 529-nucleotide ribosomal RNA is filed under the name uncultured Actinomyces sp. Its description in RNAcentral is "bacterial SSU rRNA". It matches the Rfam family "Bacterial small subunit ribosomal RNA", at positions 35 to 507 of the family's 1533-position model. The record is from RNAcentral. Lineage: Bacteria; Bacillati; Actinomycetota; Actinomycetes; Actinomycetales; Actinomycetaceae.
UUACGUCGCGUCACGAGUCGAACGGCUGGCGGGCGUGCUUAACACAUGGCAAGUCGAACGGGGCCUGCCUGGCGUUUUGGUUGGGUGGGUGGAGUGGCGAACGGGUGAGUUAACACGUGAGUUAACCUGCCCUCUUUCUCUUUGGAUAACUGCCUGAAAGGGCGGUUAAUACGGGAUGUUCUGGCUGCCUCGCAUGGGGUGGUUUGGAAAGAUUCGGCCUGGUUUUGGUUGUUUUGUGGGGGAUGGGCUCGCGGCUUAUCAGCUUGUUGGUGGGGUGAUGGCCUACCAAGGCGGUGACGGGUAGCCGGCCUGAGAGGGUGGACGGUCACACUGGGACUGAGACACGGCCCAGACUCCUGCGGGAGGCAGCAGUGGGGGGAUUUUGCACAAUGGGCGCAAGCCUGAUGCAGCGACGCCGCGUGAGGGAUGGAGGCCUUCGGGUUGUGAACCUCUGUCGCCGGUGAUGUAGGCUCUGCUUUGUGGGUGGGGUUGACGGUAGCCGGGGUAUGAAGUGCCGGCUAACUACGUG